This 424-nucleotide ribosomal RNA is filed under the name uncultured prokaryote. RNAcentral's name for it is "bacterial SSU rRNA". It matches the Rfam family "Bacterial small subunit ribosomal RNA", at positions 355 to 796 of the family's 1533-position model. The record is from RNAcentral.
UAAGGAAUAUUGGACAAUGGGCGAAAGCCUGAUCCAGCCAUGCCGCGUGAGUGAUGAAGGCCCUAGGGUUGUAAAGCUCUUUCACCCGCGAAGAUAAUGACGGUAGCGGGAGAAGAAGCCCCGGCCAACUCCGUGCCAGCAGCCGCGGUAAUACGGAGGGGGCUAGCGUUGUUCGGAAUUACUGGGCGUAAAGCGCGCGUAGGCGGAAAGUUAAGUCGGAGGUGAAAUCCCGGGGCUCAACCUCGGAACUGCCUUCGAUACUGGCUUUCUUGAGUCCGGGAGAGGUGAGUGGAAUUCCGAGUGUAGAGGUGGAAUUCGUAGAUAUUCGGAGGAACACCAGUGGCGAAGGCGGCUCACUGGCCCGGUACUGACGCUGAGGCGCGAAAGCGUGGGGAGCAAACAGGAUUAGAUACCCCCGUAGUCC